GAGGACCCUGUGCACUGUGGAACGCACCACCCGGAGUGGUGUGCUUGCUGCGGCUACCCGCUCACAGCGAACUCGCUCAAGGUGGAAGCAGGGCUUCGGUUCCAAGGCACAAUGGUCACCAUGCUGGGAAAACUGGAGGAGGUGAAGAGGGCCUUCUGCGGAGACGACCCAACAACAUUUUUGAACAUUGAAGACCACCCCCGUCCUCGAUUGGCCAGAAGUUCUCUCAUCACCACGGACAAGCGUACCCCAGACGAAAGAGUUCCAGGACCCAAGAUUUUCUUCGGUUCGGAAAAACAGAUCGUUCCUGAGAAUCAAUCAGUGAAACU
Molecule: long non-coding RNA, 329 nt
Organism: Ixodes scapularis (black-legged tick)
Lineage: Eukaryota; Metazoa; Arthropoda; Arachnida; Ixodida; Ixodidae
Exons: 3
Source: RefSeq, a predicted model, not a curated record